Molecule: ribosomal RNA, 253 nt
Filed under: uncultured bacterium
Lineage: Bacteria
Description: partial 16S ribosomal RNA
Rfam family: Bacterial small subunit ribosomal RNA
Source: RNAcentral
UACGUAGGGUGCAAGCGUUGUCCGGAAUUAUUGGGCGUAAAGAGCUCGUAGGCGGUCUGUCGCGUCUGCUGUGAAAACUCAGGGCUUAACCCUGAGCUUGCAGUGGGUACGGGCGGACUGGAGUUCGGCAGGGGAGACUGGAAUUCCUGGUGUAGCGGUGAAAUGCGCAGAUAUCAGGAGGAACACCGGUGGCGAAGGCGGGUCUCUGGGCCGUAACUGACGCUGAGGAGCGAAAGCAUGGGGAGCGAACAAG